CGAAGCAACGCGCAGAACCUUACCAACCCUUGACAUGGGUAUCGCGGUUUCCAGAGAUGGAUUCCUUCAGUUCGGCUGGAUACCACACAGGUGCUGCAUGGCUGUCGUCAGCUCGUGUCGUGAGAUGUUCGGUUAAGUCCGGCAACGAGCGCAACCCACGUCUUUAGUUGCCAUCAUUCAGUUGGGCACUCUAAAGAAACUGCCGAUGAUAAGUCGGAGGAAGGUGUGGAUGACGUCAAGUCCUCAUGGCCCUUACGGGUUGGGCUACACACGUGCUACAAUGGUAGUGACAAUGGGUUAAUCCCAAAAAGCUAUCUCAGUUCGGAUUGGGGUCUGCAACUCGACCCCAUGAAGUCGGAAUCGCUAGUAAUCGCGUAACAGC
Molecule: ribosomal RNA, 382 nt
Filed under: uncultured Rhodobacter sp.
Lineage: Bacteria; Pseudomonadati; Pseudomonadota; Alphaproteobacteria; Rhodobacterales
Description: bacterial SSU rRNA
Rfam family: Bacterial small subunit ribosomal RNA
Source: RNAcentral